RNAcentral lists this ribosomal RNA (415 nucleotides) under uncultured prokaryote. RNAcentral's name for it is "bacterial SSU rRNA". It matches the Rfam family "Bacterial small subunit ribosomal RNA", at positions 505 to 918 of the family's 1533-position model. The record is from RNAcentral.
GUGUCAGCAGCCGCGGUAAUACGGGGGGUGCAAGCGUUGUUCGGAAUUAUUGGGCGUAAAGAGCGUGUAGGCGGCCGGAUGUGUCAGAUGUGAAAGCCCUGGGCUUAACCCAGGAAGUGCAUUUGAAACUGUCCGGCUUGAGUAGGGGAGAGGGAAGUGGAAUUCCUGGUGUAGAGGUGAAAUUCGUAGAUAUCAGGAGGAACACCGGUGGCGAAGGCGACUUCCUGGCCCUAUACUGACGCUGAGACGCGAGAGCGUGGGUAGCAAACAGGAUUAGAUACCCUGGUAGUCCACGCCGUAAACGAUGUUCACUAGGUGUUGGGGGUAUUGACCCCCUCAGUGCCGGAGCUAACGCAUUAAGUGAACCGCCUGGGGAGUACGGUCGCAAGACUAAAACUCAAAUGAAUUGACGGGG